CCAAACUUGGUCAUUUAGAGGAAGUAAAAGUCGUAACAAGGUCAUCGUAGGUGAACCUGCGGUGGGAUCAUUAUCUGAACCUUUUAAACAUUGUGUGAAAUACUUGGGUUAUAAGAGUGGUAUGUUUUUGUGCUGAUUAAAAAAAGUGCAGGAGGGUAUUGCUUGUUGCAGCGUGGUCGUUGUAAAAAUUCGGCCGCCUGCUUUUUUAAACUAUGUUGGUUUGUAUCUUUAUACGAUAGACUGUAUUUAAUUAUUUGCUCGAAAGAGCUAUUAACUUUUUUUACAACUAUCAAUGGUGGAUCACUUGGCUCUUGCAUCGAUGAAGAACGCAGC
Molecule: unclassified non-coding RNA, 333 nt
Filed under: uncultured fungus
Lineage: Eukaryota; Fungi
Description: partial contains small subunit ribosomal RNA, internal transcribed spacer 1, and 5.8S ribosomal RNA
Rfam family: Eukaryotic small subunit ribosomal RNA (bases 1-73)
Source: RNAcentral